This 445-nucleotide ribosomal RNA is filed under the name uncultured bacterium. RNAcentral's name for it is "SSU rRNA". It matches the Rfam family "Bacterial small subunit ribosomal RNA", at positions 26 to 518 of the family's 1533-position model. The record is from RNAcentral.
AGAACGAACGCUGGCGGCAGGCCUCAAACAUGCAAGUCUAGGGGGUGUAGCAAUACAUCACCGGCGGACGGGUGCGUAACGCGUGGGAAUGUACCUAUUGGUUCGGAACAACUGAGGGAAACUUCAGCUAAAUCCGGAUACGCCCUUACGGGGAAAGAUUUAUUGCCGAAGGAACGGCCCGCGUCCGAUUAGCUAGUUGGUGAGGUAAUGGCUCACCAAGGCGACGAUCGGUAGCUGGUCUGAGAGGAUGACCAGCAUCACUGGGACUGAGACACGGCCCAGACUCCUACGGGAGGCAGCAGUGGGGAAUAUUGGACAAUGGGCGCAAGCCUGAUCCAGCCAUGCCGCGUGGAUGAUGAAGGCCUUAGGGUUGUAAAGUCCUUUAACGGGGAGAGUAAUGACGGUACCGUAGAACUAGCCCGGCUAACUUCGUGCCAGCAGCCGC